GCCGGGCGCGGUGGCGCGCACCUGUAGUCCCAGCUACUCGGGAGGCUGAGGCAGGAGGAUCGCUUGAGUCCAGGAGUUCUGGGCUGUAGUGCGCUAUGCCGAUCGGGUGUCCGCACUAAGUUCGGCAUCAAUAUGGUGACCUCCUGGGAGCGGGGGACCGCGGGGUUGCCUAAGGAGGGGUGAACCGGCCCAGGUCGGAAACCGAGCAGGUCAAAACUCCCGUGCUGAUCAGUAGUGGGAUCGCGCCUGUGAAUAGCCACUGCACUCCAGCCUGGGCAACAUAGCGAGACCCCGUCU
This 297-nucleotide signal recognition particle RNA is filed under the name Mustela putorius furo (domestic ferret). Its description in RNAcentral is "Metazoan signal recognition particle RNA (ENSMPUG00000021818.1)". It matches the Rfam family "Metazoan signal recognition particle RNA". Rfam says of the family: The signal recognition particle (SRP) is a universally conserved ribonucleoprotein. It is involved in the co-translational targeting of proteins to membranes. The eukaryotic SRP consists of a 300-nucleotide 7S RNA and six proteins: SRPs 72, 68, 54, 19, 14, and 9. The record is from RNAcentral. Lineage: Eukaryota; Metazoa; Chordata; Mammalia; Carnivora; Mustelidae.